RNAcentral lists this long non-coding RNA (846 nucleotides) under Homo sapiens (human). Its description in RNAcentral is "HSALNT0352486". Lineage: Eukaryota; Metazoa; Chordata; Mammalia; Primates; Hominidae. The record is from RNAcentral.
GCCCAGAGUGCCCACCCAGAACUCCACCUCUGACCUCACAAAGGCCUGCUUCAGAACUCAGUCUCCACUGCACUGCUGGCCAGACGAGGGAAGUUAUUUUGGGCAGUGCAUCUGGACUUGGUUCAAGUGGCACCAGCCAAAUCCCUGCCUUACUGACCUCUCCCCUGGAGGAGCAGGAGCAGCGCUCAAGGCCGCCUUGGGAGGGCUGAGAGGCAGGCUCUGGACUGGGGACACAGGGAUAGCUGAGCCCCAGCUGGGGGUGGAAGCUGAGCCAGAGACAGUCACAGAGGAACAAGAUCAAGAUGCGCUUUAACUGAGAAGCCCCCAAGGCAGAGGCUGAGAAUCAGAAGACAUUUCAGCAGACAUCUACAAAUCUGAAGGACAAAACAUGGUUCAAGCAUCUGGGCACAGGCGCUCGGGCCACUGUAUCAGGUCCACCCGUGGCUCCAAAAUGGUCUCCUGGUCCGUGAUAGCAAAGAUCCAGGAAAUAUGAUGCGAGGAAGAUGAGAGGAAGAUGGCGCGAGAGUUCCUGGCCGAGUUCAUGAGCACAUAUGUCAUGAUGAACAUACAUAUGAUAGUUGAGAAAGACACAUAUUCUGAUCAUGAAGAAAUAAACACAAGUUAAAUAUGACUAAGCAGAAAGAUGGAAGGACCAGGAACGGUGAUGCUAACUUGGAACCACGAUGCAGGCUCUAAACUCCUCUACAAUCAUCCUCCCUUGUGAGAAAAAUACAAUGAUGCUGGCCUCAUAAAAUGAGUUAAAGCAAUGGAAACAAAAGACAAAAUUGACAAAUGGGAUCUAAUUAAACUAAAGAGCUUCUGCACAGCAAAAGAAACUACCAUCAG